GAUGAACGCUAGCUACAGGCUUAACACAUGCAAGUCGAGGGGUAACGAGAGGAAAGCUUGCUUUCCUUGUCGACGACCGGCGCACGGGUGAGUAACGCGUAUCCAACCUGCCCCCAACUAGGGAAUAACCUUGCGAAAGUAAGACUAAUACCCUAUAAUUUCCUCAGAUGCCAUCUGACGAGGAAUAAAGAUUUAUCGGUUGUGGAUGGGGAUGCGUCUGAUUAGCUUGUUGGCGGGGUAACGGCCCACCAAGGCAACGACCAGUAGGGGUUCUGAGAGGAAGGUCCCCCACAUUGGAACUGAGGCACGGUCCAAACUCCUACGGGAGGCAGCAGUGAGGAAUAUUGGUCAAUGGGCGGAAGCCUGAACCAGCCAAGUAGCGUGCAGGAUGACGGCCCUAUGGGUUGUAAACUGCUUUUAUACAGGAAUAAAGUUAGCCACGUGUGGUUAUUUGUAGGUACUGUAUGAAUAAGGACCGGCUAAUUCCGUGUCAGCCGCCGCGGUAA
This 506-nucleotide ribosomal RNA is filed under the name uncultured bacterium. RNAcentral's name for it is "partial 16S ribosomal RNA". It matches the Rfam family "Bacterial small subunit ribosomal RNA", at positions 28 to 523 of the family's 1533-position model. The record is from RNAcentral.